GCCAGCUAUCUAGCUUGUGGUGCUAAGCUGACUGGUUGGUUGGUGACUCUGGAUCGGAGAGACCGAACGAAGCCGGACCGAAGUCCCCACCAACCAACUUGCGUCGCGGGAGAGAGAGAGCCAAAGAGAGAGAGAGAGACCAAACCCGCGACACGAGUAGGACGUAUGCAUCGUGUAUGUACCGCAUGCCAGCCAACCAACUCGCGGGAGAUGUGUAAGUCAGAGGUGUAUCUCAUCCUCGAAAGAGUCGCCGUCGUCGUCGUCUUUGACUUUGACACGAGACAGUAAGGUACGGACAGCACCGACCGAGGAUCGGCAUAAAAUGUCCGUCAAAGUAGCGAAGUAUCGUCCCCGUUGAGCCACCGUCAUUCGACGAUCGUCACGUUCCUUUGGAGAUUACGUCACUCGAGGCGUUGAAUGUCUCCCGUCUCAUCUCCCGAGGAAGCUUCGUCAGCCGGUCAAGCGUCGAAGACGGCAAAUCGACGAAAAUGGAUGUCAGGUAAUCAGAGCGACGGACCGCGGUCGUCUUACACGGUAAACGGUAGAUCCUCCUAGCCGCGACUUCAGGGACGAAUUCACGCACAGCUGACUGUGUCCCUUCAUGGCGUACGAAGGCUCCGUUCCUAUGCUCGACGAGCAUCUGCUACCUGUUGCUUCUUCCCGCGGGCAGUUUUUCCUCGGAUUCGCUGCCGCCGCUGCCGGGCUUCGGAACCCCAGCAGGCAGCUUACCAGCAGUGGCUACGCGACUACUUAUACUUUACUCAGCUAGCUAUUAAUCUACUCAGCUCAGGCUGUUUACCCGGCACGUUAGAGUUGGUCGGUUAGUAACUGCGCCUGCAGUGUUUAUACAGAAGUCUGCUUGCACAGCAGGGACAGCAGCUCAAGUCCGAACCGCAACCUGAGUUCAGAAGACUACCUUGAUAAUGGGUAAGCAGAACACGUAUCGACGUAAUGAUACAUACCGGGACUUGCCUGGCUGGCAAUCAGUUCUACGCACGUUGAGUAUUAAAAAGUCAUGCUCGUCCAACGAGCCGAUGUGCUCGUUUCUCUGUUAGCUGCUUAAGUGACGUUUUUAUUAUCUUCUUUUUUUCAUUAUAAUUGUAUUUAACACACGAUACCGACCGAG
Molecule: long non-coding RNA, 1126 nt
Organism: Neodiprion virginianus
Lineage: Eukaryota; Metazoa; Arthropoda; Insecta; Hymenoptera; Diprionidae
Exons: 3
Source: RefSeq, a predicted model, not a curated record